This 253-nucleotide ribosomal RNA is filed under the name uncultured bacterium. Its description in RNAcentral is "partial 16S ribosomal RNA". It matches the Rfam family "Bacterial small subunit ribosomal RNA", at positions 524 to 776 of the family's 1533-position model. The record is from RNAcentral.
UACGUAGGGUGCAAGCGUUGUCCGGAAUUAUUGGGCGUAAAGAGCUCGUAGGCGGUUUGUCGCGUCGAAUGUGAAAUCCCGGGGCUCAACCCCGGAACUGCAUUCGAUACGGGCAGACUAGAGUUCGGUAGGGGAGUCUGGAAUUCCUGGUGUAGCGGUGAAAUGCGCAGAUAUCAGGAGGAACACCGGUGGCGAAGGCGGGACUCUGGGCCGAUACUGACGCUGAGGAGCGAAAGCCUGGGGAGCAAACAGG